Molecule: ribosomal RNA, 468 nt
Filed under: uncultured bacterium
Lineage: Bacteria
Description: partial 16S ribosomal RNA
Rfam family: Bacterial small subunit ribosomal RNA
Source: RNAcentral
GACGAACGCUGGCGGCGUGCUUAACACAUGCAAGUCGAACGGAAAGGCCCUGCUUUUGUGGGGCGCUCGAGUGGCGAACGGGUGAGUAACACGUGAGUAAUCUGCCCUUGACUUUGGGAUAACUUCAGGAAACUGGGGCUAAUACCGGAUAGGAGCUCCUGCUGCAUGGUGGGGGUUGGAAAGUUUCGGCGGUUGGGGAUGGACUCGCGGCUUAUCAGCUUGUUGGUGGGGUAGUGGCUUACCAAGGCUUUGACGGGUAGCCGGCCUGAGAGGGUGACCGGCCACAUUGGGACUGAGAUACGGCCCAGACUCCUACGGGAGGCAGCAGUGGGGAAUAUUGCACAAUGGGCGGAAGCCUGAUGCAGCAACGCCGCGUGCGGGAUGACGGCCUUCGGGUUGUAAACCGCUUUCGCCUGUGACGAAGCGUGAGUGACGGUAAUGGGUAAAGAAGCACCGGCUAACUACGUG